UUGGAUUACCGGUUUGUGGGGAAGGUAUUGUAUGCCUUUGUUGCUUCCUGUCAUCAGUAUUAAGUCCUGUUAGCCCAGAUUCGAUUCUUAUAGUGAAAGUCGCCGAAGAGUGAAAGGUGGGAGUGUCGGGCUUACUUCUUUCUGUGGUGUAAUGUCCUUAUGGUUGUAAUGUGAAUACCGAUAUAGUCAGAUUGUUACGCCGGGGAGUAAGAUGGACUACCUGAUGAGUAGGACUCGGAAGCGACGUCAGAUGGAAGGGAUCUAACUUUAGCACGGGAACUGGAUGUUUCGCAUGAGAACUGGAUGUUGAAUUACUGGUUUUUAGUUUCAUUACGACUUACUUGUUUUCAUUCUCAUCAGUAAGGGGCUGAUUCUAACAGGGAGUGUAGCUGGUCAAUAAAGGAAAUACAGAUGUGAUGGUCCGGUAGUAAUUAAAGAAAAUCCAAUAUAGGCAAUGCAGACUAUACGCUUUGAGGGGCAUACAAAUAAUAGACUAAGGUAUCCGGUUCAGUAGCUAGAGAAUCAAAGGCAUUAGUCAAAGAGCGAGAUCGAGGAAAGGCAUACUCCAACAAUAGGCAUUGAAGACACAGGAGCGGGGUUUGACAGGUAAGAGACUCAAUCCAUGUAGCGGAAGAACGAAGAUAGUGAGUCAGGCUUAGAGACAGUAGAUAAGGGCUAAGAGCGGGUAAAGCGAGGGUAGAGGUCCGUAAAGGAAGUAUGAUUUCUUUGUUUGACUCUUUCCGGUAUUUUAGUGGAAUUCUGUAAUUCCAGGGGUUUCUUGCUCUAGCAGGGUUUCUUGCUCUAGUACUAUAAGGGGGUAGCUUGUCGGCUUGGCGUCUAUACGUUGCUUGUUUGACAGGGUGGAUAGGAUUGAAUCUUGUAUAACUGAAGUCUACCUCUGGAAUAGUCUACCUAUGGCUCAUCCACCUUCAUUCUUAUCCUAUAAGUAUUCUUAUUAGUAUUAGUAUCGGAGAGCUUGUUAUUACUUAUCCUUCUCAAGCAACUACAGUUCUUGUUUUAGAGUCAGAGGCAGCCUAUAAAUUAAGGACAGAGACAGAGGAGUUGUAUAGGAGAGUAGCAAGAGUUAGAUGAGCCGGGAGUUUCAGAAGCAAGUCAUAAUUAUAGUAUUGUUGCCAGAGAAGAGCAAGUAGAAAGGGAUGCUUCAAGUCUAGGUCAGAAUUAAGGCUUAAUUGGUACUCCUGAAUAACCACUGGGGAACACAGGACUCAUACAAACCCUGCCUUUAAGAAUAAGAGUUUACUUACCGGUAGUGAACUAAAGAAUGGAGCGGAAGAUAUGUAUCCAUCUUAUGAUUCUGCUUUAUCUCCAACUAUAUCUGUUCCUGCUCCACCUGAUUUAGAGUACUACUUCUCGGUGUUGGCUGAAGAAUACUUCUUUAUUCGAAGUUUCAAUCUAAGUUUCAGGCAGGGGAAACAAAUCUAAUGAGUUAGCCUGUGUCCCUACUGAAUCUGGGGCUUGCACUCUCGCCAUUGCUUGGUCCGCUGUUUGUCGGUAGCCAAUGUGGAAAUAGGAUAGGACUUGAGUUCGACUUUCCUAGUGUCUUGUCUAUCCGUGUCUUGUCCACUUGUCCAUACGUUGCUUGGUGGAACUCAGUCUCAAAGCUAGUAGUACUCUAAUGAAUGCAAGGCUAAAGGCAUAGGUUUGAUGAGCUACUGCAGGGAAUAGGGCAGGGCUCUAACUCUCACUACAGAACCAAAGUCAGCAGCGGGAGGCUAAUAGCGGAGGGGAAAAGACCCCAGAAAGCAAGGACCAUAGUCAACAGCUCAAUUCUGAUUAUUAUUAGUUAAGGGAUGUUAGUCGAGGGAAUAAGCCAAUCAAGAAAACUCAAGAAGAAAAGUGCGUAGUGUGGAGGCAAAGCUUCAAGUAAAGAGUGAGGGAGCAGCUAUGAAGGCUUAGAGGCGGGAGAGGUGGUAAGAGAAUGGACCAAGUACUUCUCAUAAUGGAGUUGGGAAUAGUUUAUAUCCGAGGGGAGAGAGUAAUACUUCAAGAGGGAAUUCCAUACUCACUUAUGUGUUUAGGGCCUCUACUUAUUAGUUUCAUGAUGUUAGUCUAAUUAUACAUUUACUACUUGAAAGAAGUGGGCGUGUGUUGAUGAGAAAUAGCACUAGGGUUGGUUAACACAUAACAAGUAAGGAGUAUAAGAGCGAAAGACAAGAGAGUCAGGAACCAUAGGGGAAGAAGAGAUUUCAAACAAAGAUCCGGAUGUCGAGUUCAAGUAUUCGAUUAGAAGUCGUGGUUUGAUUCACUGGGUUUUCAUUCUGAUAUUGCAGAGCCUUAUCGACACUGGGGUUAUUCCAAUAGUCGGUAGUUUGCUCGCCUCCAAAGCAUGGGUUUCGUUCUCAUAUCCUAUCCACUUAUUCUUGAUUCCGUUAGUAGAUGCGCUAUACAUCAUCCCCAUACUCCUUAUUCCUUGUUUGAUUCUGAUAGACACUAGUUCUGUUCUUUAGUUGACCCUGUUAGCAGCGAUUUCUGUCUUAUCGGAUAGCAGUCCAUCCUUUGUAGCAGUAGUGUGUCUAAUAAUAGUAGAAGUUGCUUGUCCAGUUGCUUGACCAUUAGAUUAGUAGUCACUUGGUCGGGUAGUCAACUAAUAAUUCCAUACAAAAUCCAUAAUUGGAAUACGCAGUAAAAGAACUCACCUAGAACUAACCUUAUGGGGACACCAACUAUACCCUUUAUUCUUCAAACUUACCUCUCCGAGCACCAACUCUACCUUCUCCUUCGAUUUCGCAUUUCCAACCUCUGUAAUUGAAUCCACUUAUCACCAACCUACCUUUCAUGCUUAAAUGCCUUAUUUCAUAUUUGCUUGUGCUUUUUCCGUUUACUUAUAUAUUAAUGUCAUGAUUACGUUCACAUAGUAGAAUGAGUUUUCUCGUAGUAUAUUUCAUUAAGUAGCUUUAUUAGCGUAAUUAGAGAGAAAAGCUGCUCUACUUGUUCUAAAAAACGUCUAUUGUUUUCUUUUUCCCUUUAUCGCUGUAGCUUGGGUGUUCAGCACUGGGUUCUUUUUCUUUAGUAGGGUAGUCUAACCGAUGUAUGUGUUACGCCUAUAACUGUAUAGGAAGGAUAUGGUUUUGCUAUUACAUUUCUAUUAUACAAAUCUGAAGGAAAGGUAGAGUCAAUGGUUGUUGCCGAGCAAAGAAGGGAAGUUUUAACCACAGGAUGAGAAGCGCUAGGUAAAUUCCAUUAAGCACCAGUUGUAUUAUUUUAGAGAAGAGGUAGGGUUUGGAAGGGUUGGUAAACAGGUCGAGGAGGUACAGAUGUCAUAGUCAUAGCAAAACUCACCAUUGAUGGAACGAAGCUACCCUAAUACCUUAACAUAGAGACAGGGAAUGGAACCCAUAAGUCAAAGAAUCAAUCCUGUAAUAAGGAAUGAAGUGAAAGAGCCUUACAAACAGUAGAUAAAGUCUGAUCGAUAGUAGUAGCAUUCUUCAGACAAGAUCAAACACCUAGGAGCAGGGAUGAAACACAGAACUAAUAAGCAAAGGAAUAAGUCAGAAAUCCACUCCUUAUUGCCCAAUCAACCUCAUAUUCUAAUAAUCAAAGAUAGAAUCACAGCCAGUAGCGGUAGGCUCAAACAGAAUCAAAACCAGAAAAGAUAGAAUGAAAACAAGGAGUGUAAGUUUGAGAAGUCACUCUGACAAGCAAGGAUGCCAGGUUUAGAAGCGGGAGUCAAAGCCUAAUGAUUAGUGUAGUUGGUUUUCCCCGCUAGUAGCUCCCGAACACAGGACUUGCAAAUUCCGUUUUUGGAGUUAAAGACAAGAGCGUAGUCCUUUGUGUCGGUGUUCGAUUCUAUCUAUCGUGCUAGUAGGUGUCCAGUAUUGUGGACCAGUAUACUGACUUUUCUCUUUUAUUCUCUAAUGUAGUAGAUUGAUUCCUUUACUGCUUGGUUCAAUUCUACCAUCUUAUCCCGGACCCCCAUUCGUGCUUUACUGACUUUUCUUCUUCGACUUUCUUUACAUAGUUAUGACUUUUGAGUCGAGGUAGGAGGCGCGCCCCAGUUCAUCAGUAUUGUUAGCACCACUGAAAUUCUAAUACAAAUACAGCACUACCGCUACUCCAGCUACAUAGUUCUCUUCUUUUUAGUAUUCGCAGGGGAGGGUCAUUCUUUGACUGCUCAGUGGGAUUCUUACUUGUCUUAACCUAUCUCUCUCUAUUCUCUGCUCAGAAAAGUACGUAAUAUAAUAAUCAAUAUGUGCACUUUUUAGAACGAUGUUGGCUAAGUGGUUGGCUAAGAAGAAUUCUGUUGACAUAUAAGAAUGAUGUGGACAUCAACACCGGAACAAGAGAUGUUGUUUCACCCAAUUCAAUGAAAAACUAUAGCAGUAGUUUAGACUUCCAAACUAUAGCAGUAGUUUAGACUGUUGAAUACACAGUAUCAUAAUAGGGAAUGUCGGAAUGGGACUCGGGAACGAACCUACUAUUACUGGGUGAAAUCCGGAUCGGCAACCCGGCACACUGACUGCUUAUUCUUAAGUAAAUGACAGCACUGCAGCUACUAAUAUAAGUAAGGGAACUACCUAGUACGCGCUCUUUCUCGACAACCCGGGCGCUCUCCUAUAUUCUAGACAAAACCAUAAGAUAGGGGGUGUAGCUAACGAUGGGCGGGCUAACAGAUGAAAUAGGGAUUUGAGCUAAGGACAAAUAGGCUUACUACCCCGGUUUUCAAACGAACAUUUCUUACUUGCUUUCUUUAACACUGGCAUCGGAUCCUAGCAACUGUGCCUAUGAGCCUUGGGUGAAAUCUACCACUACUCCCUUUUAGUCUUGACUCCACCAAUAAACUAGUAUACUUAUGAGAUCCCUUUGAGUCUUGACUCCACCAAUAAACUAGUAUACUUAUGAGAACGAAACUCGAAACGGGGCUUUAGCUUACUAGCUAUUAGAAUGGAACCUGGGCGUAUGAGACUGUAGCUGCUGCUUCCAAUACUUCGCUAACUGCUAGUCAGAACGGGGCUACAGCUAGUAAGGCUCUCACCACUAUUGGAAAGAAAGGCACUGGUGCUGAUGAGGCUGAUACUACGCAGAGAGGAAACUUCAUACUUUCUCUUACAAUAUUAGAGUUGAAUCACCGCUAACAAGGAGGCUAGCAAGAUUGUGAAACAGUGGUGCAAUACUGAGUUUCACUGUAUGGAAUACGAGAAUUAGCCCAAUGCAGGUUAGAGAAUAACCCCAGCGAAUCACUGAUAUCGGUCUCGAACAGCCGAGUAGAGUAUAAGAAUAUGUAUGGGUACGAUGUAGCCGCAUAUAGAGUAUAAGUAAUAAGGAUAAGAAUACAGCUACCGCCUAAAAGAGUCUAACAAAUAAGUAAGGAUACAUCGGAAAUAAAGUCAGAAUUACAGAAAUCAAUAAGAAGCAAAAGUCUAGUGUAGUACGCUCUUAUUUCUUAUACAAUAUUCUGAUAUUUCUUAUACAAUAUUCUUAUAUCUAGUGGACCAGGCGCUCUCCACACUCCCAACGGACCUUACCGAACGCACCAUACCCGAUAUGCUGUAUUUAGAGUCGAAGUCGUCCAUACCCAUCCUUGUAGAGUACCCCGGCUUCAAAUGGAACUUCCCGAACCGCCCUCAAUUAUGUAUUUUGAGAUCCAAUAUACAAGUACCACGGCGCAUCCUUUGACUAGUGAGUUUUUCUCUUAGCGAGGUCUCCUUUGAUGAGUUGUUCUGUUCUCUUAUCUUAGCGAGGUCUCCUUUGAUGCAAGGUCUAUUCUAAGAAACCCCGGUGGUUGACACAGCUUCCUUUAGGGACCCAUACUAAGCACCCCUAAUAGCUAGGACACUUAAGUCAAUAACCACUCCUGUGACUUUUCUGCUUGCCUACUUGUCGAGUUGGUUUACAGCUUCCUUAACCUUAAUGCUUGGACCACCACAAGGGAAAGCCCAGCACUGAACCCUAGACUCAAGUUGCCAUUGCUUGUUAGCGAGUAGAGUUAUACUUUCCAUUGCUUUCGAAAAGACCUUGUGCGUUAGUGAGCUCACUGUUGCUUAUUCAAUAAGACUACAUGUUUCUUGUUUGAAUUGAAUUGAGAUAGCCAUAGCAAUAGAAUCUAGUGAAAAAGAGGAGAAUUGAGGUAACCUAACUUCCAACUAGUAUAGAAUUGAGGUAACCUAACUCCAACUAGUAAAAGGGUGAACUCGCUAGUAAUAUGAGAAGGGCACGCACCCAGUAUCAUUAUGUAAUUAAGUAACCUGAGUGCUCACUCACUUAUUGCUUUUGAAGCUCCGCUGUAGCUUAUGGGAGUUUCGAAGUGCUUACGUGAAGUUUGUCGGCGAAGUGGAAAGAAAUGCUACUCUUACUCUUACAAAGAAAUGCUACUCUUAAUGAGGGGAGAAGCUAAUGCAUCCUGAGGGCGAGAGUCGAGAGCGAGAGUCAGUAGUGGAGUUUGCAGAAAUUAAGGAAUAGUGCAAACUAUUGUAAGUCUCACAGGCCCACAACACCAAUAGAACAUAAGUCGAAAGUGGAAAAGUGGACCCUGGGUGAAACUAAUAGAAGAGAAAGAUGAAGUGAAAAGCCGAGGAAAGAAGCCUUCUUCAGAUCACAACAAGCAAAGAAAAGAAAACUAAAGCAUAAGUAGAAGAGACAAGCAGAAAAGCGACUACCGAUACGAGUAUACUAGCUUUUAAGCCAUAAUCAGUAUAGUAUCUUCAAGCAAGGGCAAUAAGAGAGAGAGAAAUAGAUAGAUAUUAAUUGAUGUUUAGAGAACCAUUAGCCUUGUCCUUUGUUGAAUAAGCAGUGCACUUAGGACCUAAGCCCUUGAACGUAUGCAGCAGUAGAUUAAUUUGUAGCGGGGGUUUAGGUGGGAACUCUUCUUUCGAUGCUUUGGUGACAGAGAAGGAGGUCUUUUGCUUUAAAGCGGGUGAGACCACGUUUCGACUGUUCACUCAAUUAGAACGCUAUUGGUAGGAAAAUAUACCCUUGCUGCCUCUUUAGGAAUCAGGUGAAUCCGCUUUGGUGCUAUCAUACUCAUUUUAUAGUAAUUGAUUUAGUUAAAGGCUCUAUAACUCAAAAGAUCAUAAGAGAGAGAAGAAGAGUUAACGCAGCUAAGAGAUAGGAGAAGUCUGGCUUAAUAGAGACUUAUUGGAUAUUCUUUUAUACAUUCAGAGCCCGUUUAUGUGCAGUAGCCAUAGCCUUAAAAGCACCAGUUGGGGAGAAUGAGAUUGAGUUUUGUAAUACUCGUAGGCAGGAGCUGAGUGAACUACAGUAAAAGGAUCCUAGGUGAACUACAGUUAUUCGUUUAGUAGAGUUAGUCUAAUAGUUGGAAGUUAGUAGUUGGGUUGCCAGCCUGGUACCAAAGCCUUGUCUACAGUUCGAGAGUAAGCAAUAAGGUGUCUGGAUCAGAAUACUUAUCUUCAGUCGAAGUCAAAGCAAGUGCGACAACUACACCCUAUUCUUUCGUACCAGUACUUACCUAGUGAAAAUUAUUGACUUAUUUAUUUGCCUUUACUUCCGUGGUAUCUUAUAGCUGCUUGAGUGUCACACGUAACUGAUCUUGCCUUUACUGAUUAUGGGAUAGGUUCUUCUUACCCGCAAGUAGAAAGUAGUCAAUUGAAGAAUUUGUGUUGAUAGCACCGAUCAAUAGGUUCAAUUCUGUAGCACCGAUCAAACAGAGUAAACCCGGAGCAUAAGAGCUUAACUACUACUGUAAGAACCAACCUACAACUUCUAAUACGUUAACUCUCAAGUAAUAAAUCAACUGCGACUAACAAAAACCAACCUCGAAAUAAAGGCCUUUUAAUUAGAACUUAUAAUCAAAACUGUGCCUGCCAGGACUGAACCCAAGAACCUAGGCCUCAACACUGCCCUAACAAACCUACCUACAAACUCAUGCUUCACUGCUGCUAACAGGGCUCGAACUCGGGCAUACAAGAACAGCACUAUGGCUUUUGAUUCUCUAGCUGCUGGCUUUGAUUCUUCCAAUCCAUACCAUUGUUUAGUUCACCUCGUUUCAAACUACCUCUCUUGACUUGCGUUCUUACUAACACUAAUCCCAGUCUCCGACUCUAGGUCCUAGGCUUAUACUGCCUGAAACUCCAUCCAGCUACCUUCAACUAGUACUACAGGGAAUCCCGCUAUCAAGUCUGAAUACCACUUCAUUGUUCCAAGGCGUAGUACACAACUACAUAAUGACAUUGAUUGGUCCUCGAAAACAUAUAUUGUAAUAACUUCUACAUGACUGGGAACUAUAGCAGCCCUGCCCAGGACUACCUGGACUAUAACUACCGGUAUUCCACUCUGAUAACUCCACUCCAAAGUCAUUAAUUCAAAGGGAAAGGGGUUUGGGGAAGAAUCCAACUCGUAAGUAAGGGUAAGGGUAAGCGGCUGCCGCGUAACACGAACACAUCUGGAGUAAUAACUCGUAUAAGAAAUAGACUCUAUGCGGUUUCUUAUUGAAGUGGUCUUUUAGUGUCUUGGCUGCUGGGCUUUCAUUUGACUCUUGAGCUCCGUCCUCUGCUUCUGUUUCUGCUCGUUGAAAGUGACGUAUCAAGAAGCUCGUCUCGUAUAGACUCAUCUGCUGGCUAAUCCAUCAUUUGAUGCCCAUAAUCUUAUUUGUCCAACUCCUAAGCCGUAUUCCGAUCAGGCUGAGGAGUCUGUUUCUGAGCUUGUGUCUAAUCUAACACCGUAUGAUAGAAUUAGCGCUCCAUAAGGAAGAUAUUCUUUCCCAGGAACAAGAAGAUGCAAUCUUGGUUAGUUGUUUGAUAGAUCCAAUUCGGAACUGAAAGGAGAAGUCGGCUAAAGGUAAAUGUUCUUUGCUUUGUAUAGUAUAUGAAUUGUAAUGUGCUUUCUAUUGGAGAGGGGCUUUCGUUAGCACAAGGAAUGGAAUAAAAAGACUAUAAUCCAAGCUCGGCCAGGGCGUAAGACUAAAUGGGUUGUUAGAUUUGAAGCAGCAGGCGCAACUAACUCAGUAAGCGCAACUCAUUCAUUUGACUGAACUGUAAACUGGAACUGCAACAUGGAAUUGAAUGGNNNNNNNNNNNNNNNNNNNNNNNNNNNNNNNNNNNNNNNNNNNNNNNNNNNNNNNNNNNNNNNNNNNNNNNNNNNNNNNNNNNNNNNNNNNNNNNNNNNNNNNNNNNNNNNNNNNNNNNNNNNNNNNNNNNNNNNNNNNNNNNNNNNNNNNNNNNNNNNNNNNNNNNNNNNNNNNNNNNNNNNNNNNNNNNNNNNNNNNNNNNNNNNNNNNNNNNNNNNNNNNNNNNNNNNNNNNNNNNNNNNNNNNNNNNNNNNNNNNNNNNNNNNNNNNNNNNNNNNNNNNNNNNNNNNNNNNNNNNNNNNNNNNNNNNNNNNNNNNNNNNNNNNNNNNNNNNNNNNNNNNNNNNNNNNNNNNNNNNNNNNNNNNNNNNNNNNNNNNNNNNNNNNNNNNNNNNNNNNNNNNNNNNNNNNNNNNNNNNNNNNNNNNNNNNNNNNNNNNNNNNNNNNNNNNNNNNNNNNNNNNNNNNNNNNNNNNNNNNNNNNNNNNNNNNNNNNNNNNNNNNNNNNNNNNNNNNNNNNNNNNNNNNNNNNNNNNNNNNNNNNNNNNNNNNNNNNNNNNNNNNNNNNNNNNNNNNNNNNNNNNNNNNNNNNNNNNNNNNNNNNNNNNNNNNNNNNNNNNNNNNNNNNNNNNNNNNNNNNNNNNNNNNNNNNNNNNNNNNNNNNNNNNNNNNNNNNNNNNNNNNNNNNNNNNNNNNNNNNNNNNNNNNNNNNNNNNNNNNNNNNNNNNNNNNNNNNNNNNNNNNNNNNNNNNNNNNNNNNNNNNNNNNNNNNNNNNNNNNNNNNNNNNNNNNNNNNNNNNNNNNNNNNNNNNNNNNNNNNNNNNNNNNNNNNNNNNNNNNNNNNNNNNNNNNNNNNNNNNNNNNNNNNNNNNNNNNNNNNNNNNNNNNNNNNNNNNNNNNNNNNNNNNNNNNNNNNNNNNNNNNNNNNNNNNNNNNNNNNNNNNNNNNNNNNNNNNNNNNNNNNNNNNNNNNNNNNNNNNNNNNNNNNNNNNNNNNNNNNNNNNNNNNNNNNNNNNNNNNNNNNNNNNNNNNNNNNNNNNNNNNNNNNNNNNNNNNNNNNNNNNNNNNNNNNNNNNNNNNNNNNNNNNNNNNNNNNNNNNNNNNNNNNNNNNNNNNNNNNNNNNNNNNNNNNNNNNNNNNNNNNNNNNNNNNNNNNNNNNNNNNNNNNNNNNNNNNNNNNNNNNNNNNNNNNNNNNNNNNNNNNNNNNNNNNNNNNNNNNNNNNNNNNNNNNNNNNNNNNNNNNNNNNNNNNNNNNNNNNNNNNNNNNNNNNNNNNNNNNNNNNNNNNNNNNNNNNNNNNNNNNNNNNNNNNNNNNNNNNNNUUUAUUCUAAGAUCCUAUCAUGUAGGCUGGCUGGGUGUUAGAGAUGAUAAAGCUGCUUCUGGUCUUGGGUGUACGAGAUGAUAAAGUAAGUGUAGUCUCUUUCUUUGGCUUUGAAGUGAGGUAUGCUUCAGUUGCCAGAGGAGAAGUAGAUGAGCAAUAACUGUAUUGGAGAAGUAGAUGAGCUAGAGAGGUGAGCUAGUUGUCCUGUUGCAUCCUUAGUUGAUUGGAGGGUAGGCUUGCUGGGUGUUAGAGAGAGUUGAGUCUACAGGCUUUGAAGCUAUAAGUAAAGAAGUACGUACAGGAUCGGAUCGGAUCAAGAAGUAAAGGAUCGGGUUGGUGCUCUAGCCUAGCUCCAAGUCUUGUUUCGGGUGACAGUCCAGUAGUAUACGCUUGCCCCUGUUCGAGUGAAGUGAUAGUCCGAAUCCCUUGUUUCAAGCUUAAUAGUAAGGCUCGGGAGCUUGUGUUAAGCAAAGAAGUUUUCCACAUCCUUUGCAUAUCCUUUGUUAGCUUUUCCACUCCAUAAUUGGAUCUUUUCUUUAUAUAUGAUGAAACUCACUCGGGUCGGGUGGUGGACUGACUUUUGAGGCUGGGUUACUGACUUAGUUGACUUUCACCGAUUAGAUUAUAGCUGACUUACCCAAUGACUUAUGGUUUUAAGCUCGCUACCGCGCAACGGACGUAGUUGCUUGGUCCUAGUGUCGUAGUUGCUUGCCGUCUUGUCUAGUCGUUGCUUGGCUGUUUGAUUCGGUGCUCAAAAGAUAUAUUCCUGUCCUGUUUUCGGCGCCAAUAGGUGUUGUUGACUGUUCCUCUUUAGGAUCCCCGAAGGAGAAGAUCAUCUCUUUUCGAAUGCCCACGGAGAGGAGAGCAGUAAAGUAUCAAGGAACCGUAGCGCGUAGAAGGCAAGAUGAAGCUGCAAGCGGAAAGUAUAAAGGGGAAGUUCAGAGCUAGAUGACGAUGUUCUUUUCUUAGGCAGAAAGUUGGCAAUCCGUUUUAUCCACCAUAGAAGCUCUGCAGAGGUGCUCUAGCUCUAAGUCUAGGAAAGUAGUACUUAAUUGUCUAGUAAAGGAGGAUAGGAUUCUGUGCUUGUGUUAAGCUAUGAGUCAAUAGAGAAAUAGUGGUUUUCGUUUCUAUGCUUGUCUUUGAAUGGAGUAGUAGCUUGUCGAUUCGGCUUCUUACUAGAUAGGAGAAAAGAGAGUCGAUGGGGCUUCUUCUUAAUACGAUGAAACUAGAACAGGAACUUCCCAUUCUUAUGCUGAUGAUUCCGCUCUUGCAGAUGAUCCAACUAGUAACUACUAAUGUAUAGCGUUAGUUAGAGGGGCUCUUUAAACUCACACUCAUUCACUUAGGGCUAGGGCAUCAAAGCCAGUAAAAGCAUCUUCUACAAAGGCAGGGUUCAGGUCAUAAGCAUAAGAUGGAGCUUUCGGGUUCAGGGAUGCUAUGUCUUUACUCCAAUAUAUCAUUAGUGCUCAUAAGAAAGUAUUGCUUGUUCUGUUUCCAGAUCAAAUGUAUGAGAAUUGCCAGUUCCGGUUCCAGCAUUGUCUGCAUCUGCAAGUAGAGUAGAGGUCGGGGAAGACUAUCAUACUGUGAAAACUCCAGUUCGCGCAACUCUGUAAUGGAAAUAUUACUUCUCUUAUCGCAUGUCAUAUAAGUAUGGAAUUCCAGAGCCCACCCACAGCCAGGUCAUAUAAGUAUAGAAUUGGAGAGCCCCACCCAGGUCAUAUAAUCUUGAAUGGAAAUGAAUAAUCUAUCUUUUGACUGUUGUGCAUUAAUAAAUACGGGGAACAAGAAACAACAAUAAUAUUUCCACCCCGAACCCAAGAGUAAGCUAAUGCACCCGCAAAGUAUUAACUUACUUAAGAAUGGAGUUUUGGAACCUACCCCAGAAAGUCAAAGAGGAGAGUCUGCUGCGGUGUCAAAGUAAGCUAACAAACAGACCCCAAGAGUAAGCAUUAGCGAGCGAAUCUACUCAUUUAUUAUUCCCAUCUUCUUUGCCAGGAAUGCAUUCAAGCAGAUUGGCUGGAAAGAUGAUAGUUGCCAUACGUCCUACUCCUUCGAUGGAAUGUUUGAUUGAUUGACCGGACUGACUUCCGCUUGGCCUACUUGAACUAAAAAACAUAAAGCAGAGACAGAGAGAGGAAUUUGAACCCUAUUAUAUAAGUAAGGGCUACUAAGGCAGAUAGAGGCCACUUUCUAACAACCAUGCAAUAAGUAGGGACUACUAAGGCAGAUAGAGGCCAAGGCCACUUUCUAACAACUAUGCUAGCAAGCGCUCCCUUUCGCGAGAUCCUAUCUCUUUUUCUCUAUUUUGUGUUCCGAAUCGGAAGAUAUUCGUAGUAUAUACCUUCUUCUCUUCCUUUUCCGGUAUACUAAGCCAAACAGAUUACGCUCUUGACAAAUGAACACUAAUAGAGGACUUGCCCGUACCGUGCUACUGCCUUGACCUAGGAUGGGUUUCCUCACAUCGGAUUAAGAACUGGAAAAGCUUGCAAAUACAGAUAUUCUAAGACAUAACAUUCUGCGGCAAAGAGCCCAGCCCAUUCGAUGGCAUCUGCGUUUCCAUGUUGUUACUCUUACUCUUUUAUAGGGAUAGCUAUAGCUACGGUUCUGGCUUGAACGGGAAUAAAUCCAUGAGAGGCACCCCUUUUCUUUUAUCAAACUUACGGACUUAGGUCAAAACAAAGAAAGUAUUUACCAACUUUACUUGGCUUGAUUUCUUUCCUGUUGCUGGAAUAACUGGUGUUGAUAGAAUAGAAGUUUCCGCUUCCAAUCUUAUCUACGAAGCUGUGAUUGAAUCAGUAACCGAUGUUAUUAGUGCCUUUCGUCACUGGAUUGACUGCUUUCCGUUAGCCAUUUCUUUCGCCUAGUUUGUUUUCCUUUCUUUUCUUACUGUCCUGUUGUAGUAAUAACCGAUGGUGGAGUCAUUACCGCUGCUUUAGUACUCGUAGCCGCUUCAGCUAUUAAAGAAUCGGAUGUACAUGAAUCUGACUCUAGAUCUAUCCAUUUAAUAUAUACUUAUAUAAUAUCUAUGAUCUAUGAUCUAUUACUAUGAUAUUAAUCUAUGAUCUAUUACUAUGAUAUGAAAUUGGCCACAUCUUAAUCGUAUGGGACCCAGGAGCGGAGAAGGACUCAGGCGAAGCAAAGUCAUCCUUAUUACAUAUGUCUUGCUAUUAUAUAGCAGUAGUCGGAGUAGCACUAGGAUAAGUCGGGGAUUUACUGUAUUAAGUCUGAUCCCGUUGCUUGGCCCUGUAACACCCUCGUUUAAGUCUUGCACUCCUUAGGGACAUUCUGUAACUCUUAUCCACUUGCUUGGCCCUCACCAGUAGAUUGAACUCUAACUUGACUUUCCUUUCGAACAGCUUCCACAGCAUCUCCACUCAUAAACUAUCCAACUCAUGAAUUUGAAUUGAACUCUCUUGCAUAGCAUCUAAGAUUUGAGCUCUGAUAACGAUUUCUUGCCCUAGUAGAUAAGAAUGGAAACUUCAUUAGAAAAUUAGCUUCAAAUAAGGGGCCUCCUAUAGCGCAUCUAACAUUGAAUUGAGUAUAUCGAGCACCCAGCAUAGAAACCAGUAAAUACCCUGCCUGCUAGCUCUUGCCUGCCUAAGCAAAGAUCCCACUCUGCACUUCAAUGUCUUUACUAUAUUCUUUCUUUUGACCCAGCCUAUCUGGCAUAUGAUAUAAGCGAGUAACAACACCACUUAUUAAACAACUGGUGGAUCACAAUCAGAAGAUGGAGCUAGAUCGGAAGUCGAAGUCAAAGAAGCAGCUUAGGGAGAAGAAUAAGAAGCUCUGCUCUAUCAAGAUCUAAAGCUGUGCUAAAAGAAGGGUAUAAAGCAAGUGGUUAUGCAAGUGAAGAAGCUUUAUCUAGAUCAGACAGAAUCAAUUACAGGUAAGGUGCUAAGAGCCCGUUAGAACAAGUGGUUCCGGAAAUACGCAUUGUCCCCUUUCUUUUGACCCGAACUAUAGUUUAAGAACCGAUGGCUGCUUACACAGAUUCAAGUCGAACAGGAACAGGAAGGGAUUUGAGUGCAGAAACAUAGGAUCUUGGCGCAGAAAGAAGCUACGUUAGCUUGUUUACCCUUUGAAUUGAACCGCUUCCACUUAAAGAAAUCUAUUUCGAACCUAGCUGUCAAGAGAGAUGGGCCUAGCCUGGAUUGUCUUCAAACUAUCUGACACCGGAAUCAGGACUUAGCGCUUCAGAUAGAAGGCAAUAAUCUAGGAAAGAAGAAAAGAAGGCAAUAAUCUCGGUGUUGGGCUCGGAUCUGUCUCUGUUAAGGUAGUUCGGGCGGGAACAUCUCUUUUUAACCGCUAAACCUUUGAUUCUGUAAUUACCUGUACUGGCUUAUAUACGAGAUUCCACUUACUUCUUUUCAUCUACUGUCGGAUCUAUCAGCUUCCUUUCGCCUAAAAUCAGUGUUUUGCAUUCAAUGCUUGCCGAUAUUCCAUUACUUGUUGGUUUAGGUUAGGUUCCUUUAGAAGUUUGCGCUAUCCUAUAUUCUUGAAGUGAGUUGAGAAGCAAAAGGAAAGCUAUAGAGCUUACCGAGUUUUUGGUUGUCUACUUGUCUAUACUAAGCUUGGUCGUUAGUAGUUACUUGGCGGGACCUUAACUCACAACAAAGACUGCUGCUACUUACUCCAUCACUUAAUUGACUAGACCUCAGGUUUGCUCUGCUGCUUUUUAUUCUACAGCUACAGCCUAUGAUCCUUUACAAGUUAGUAUACCAUACCACUCGUUAGCUUCGAACUGGCAUUCCCUUAUCCCACUCGCCAACUAGUAACUCUUAGUCCGAAACACUUGCAACUCAAUCUGGAUUUCAGCCCCCGGGAAGAGAUGAAUGGAUAACUCUUCCCUUCUUGUAUUCGUUCCUGUCAUCCUUAGUUAGAUGCUUCCAUUUACUUAUUCCAUUCUGUAUUACCUAAUGUCAUUAUAAUAGGCUUAGACUAUACUCUUGCCUUUAACUCUUAGGCAACUGCCUUACAUUUAUUAAUUGAAAAGUUUGAUGAUCCGCUCUCUCAUUCUAUGACUCCGCCCUCAACGCUCUAUGCUCCCUUUGCAAUCUUCCAAUCCAGGUACGAUGUAGUGCAUCUACUAAUAGGAAUAGGUCUAAUAGGGAUAGGUCUAAUAGCACUAGCCACAAAAAUAACACUAGCAACAAAAAGAAGCUUUAGGAAAAAGAACCAAACUAAGUACUAUCAGAAUCAAAUUACUAUUAACAAGUGCAAUUAUCUGUUUUCCUUGGAAUUGUAAGAAUAUCAUUUGGAAUGCGAGGGAAGGAAGGAACUUUAUAACUCACUGAUCUGGUCUACUUCAGUUUUAGGGAAAAGGGCGGUAAGCGAAGUCAGCGGGAAAGCUGGAAUCCCCGUAUUACUCUCGAUGACUCUCGGAUCUCUGUUCUUAGGAUAGAAGCGAGGCAGGUCUAUGUUCUUAAGAAGAAAUGCACUAUAACAUUAGGGGGUAAGCAUGUGUCAUUUGCCAUAAGCUACGUUACACAUGGAUUAUAAACAACGAGAAUGGGCUAUUUUACAGUUUGCUUGUAGUUAAGGGUAGAAAAUCAAAGAUGAAGUAACAUCCAACACCUAGAGACUUUCCUGCUCUUUUGCAUCUGAUAAAGCUGAUGCUCCUGCUUAAGAUCCAUAUCUAUAUACUCCUCCGACUGCUGAUACUUAGUCUGAUCCCGUAUAUUCUCUAGCUGAUAAUCUUGAUUCUUCUCCAGCUACUGAUCUCAUCGACUUCAAUUUGAGACUUGGACUGGACCAUAACUGGAGCGCACGUAGCAGAACCUUCUCUAUACUUAAUAAAGGAGUAGGCACAUUAACUAAUGGAAUAGUGGAACCUAACAGAGCAUUACUCCACUUUUGCUUCCCUUCCCCUAUUGCUUGUUCCUGUUGCUUCCCUUCCCCUAUUGCUUGUUCCUGUUAGCUCACCUAAGCUUGUUUCGAGCGCAGAAAAGAGAAUUGACCGUAACUCCACUUCGACAGAAACGCUUGAUGGUUCAGCUACCUAUCCCCCUGACUUGGGUUACAAACUCAUUCUAUAACUGAACAUGUGCACCUACAUUCAACAAGUACUAUUUGGGGAACUGCACCCGCACUGCUCACUGACGCCUCGCCUCUGAUCCUUAUGAAGAGCCAGAUCUUGUAACUGCCUUUGUAGUAGUUUCUUGUUUCAGCCUAGGGGAUACGAGUGAAUCUCAUCUAACUCGUAAUCUUGAUUCUCCACUUUGAUACCUAACCUCAACCUAAACUCUUAAGUCAUCCGAUCCUUACUCAGAACCAAUGACUCGCUAACGUGCAACAGCUUUAGGUGGGGCCAGUAGGGCGAAUAACCCAAUCUAUCCUUCUAUCUUAUCUUAUACCUAUGACUUAGUUUUAAGUCACACUUUUACUAUUUGUUACAUAUAGCUUGUACUCCCUUAACCGAGUGAGCACUUUCCUAAGGUGGUACAAGUGAUCCUCUCGGGAACUAACUAUAGACAAGAAUCUUCUCAAGAUGGACAAACAAUAAGAAAGCGAUCAAUAAAGUUCUAAGUUCUAAUGGACAUCAAUCACUCAUAAAAUGUGAGAGGCUAGGCCGUUAUAAGCCCAAAUGCAUCCAAUUAUAGAAGGCAGAUCUAAGCCCCAAUGGCAUGACACAGAACUCUAAAGCUAUAUCUGGUAAGAGAAGCGAAGCGGUUUUAGGCUCGUCUCCCCGCUUCCGCAAUUUACACUUUCCUAUAGAGAAAUUCUAUAUAAGGUUUAAGGUCCAGUGAAGAAAGAGGCUUUUGACAAUCGGUCGAAGAGAUCAGCCACCAAAGUUCGAGGAUACUUCUUAUUCAUUCGAAUCUUGUUCAGUGCACGAGAGUCCACACACAUGUGCUAAGAGCCAUCUUCCAGAGAGAGUUAAGAGCAAGUAAACAACCAAACAAGCAAUAGGAGGUCUAUGUUCUCAAGAAAAUAUGCAUUUAAGGAGCUGUCAGGAAGGCAACAUAGGCAAUUCUCCAUUAGCUACGUCACACAUAGGUUAAACACCGCAAGAGGCCCAUAUAUUCCAGUUUUACCGAGCACUCAUUAUGUUGUUGGGCCAUACAUAAUAAAGGUGAACAAGCCUUCCUACUCAAGCUUCUUUCUUACUGAGGUACGUAGGUCAAUGAACUAUGAAUUUGACUCAAGCUUCUUUCUUACUGAGGUACGUAGGUCGCAGUGCGGUUAAGUAUCAAAGAAAGUAAGGAGAACAAACAAGUAAAGAAGCACCCAACCCGUCUUUUCAAUGAGCAACAGAGCACUCAGAACUGACUAAUGCCACCCACUAAAGCAAGCAGCAAGUAAGCAAUGGCCUUCUAGUCAUUUCCAGUUCUCUUAUUACCAACAGUCAACUUGACUCUAACCUGUGCAAGAGCAAGCCAAGUUCAGAGCCGAGCUGGAGGUAACAAAGACUAAUAAAUAAACGUCUUCUAGAGGAACAGAAAAGAAUUCCAUUGAAGUAUAGAAACACAUUUGUCACCAACCAUAGGCAUAGCUUUCACAAUGAAAUGCAAAUGAACGACAACAACGCCAACUAAUACACGUCACUGAUUGCCUGAACCUUUAUUAUGGCCUUCACUACAGCAAACACUUAAGAUGAGUUAUUCUUCCUAUGAUAUGAUAGUAAGCCACUUCUUAGGCACCUUGAAUUGAGAGUAGCGCAAACAAGCAAGCAGGGCAAAAGAAAGAGAUUCUGGUUGUAGCUCAGUGGUAGAGCGGUCGGCUGUUAACUUACUGCUGGGAGAAAUGUUACCUCUAUCGGAUUUGAGAGACAUAAGUCCAAGAAAGAGGCAUAAUGGCCUUUCUACAUAGGCCUACUUACUUAGCGAGUUCUGCGCACUUUAAUGUUUCAAGGAGCAAACUCUAGAUAUGAAACAAGAGAAGGGACUGCCGCUACACAUUAGUAGUUGCUUGUCCCGUUGCUCAAUAGCUCCUGCCGCGGAACGCGAACACAGGACUUGUUUAUAACUUGUAAUAUCUAUGCUAUUGCUGCCGCGCAGCGGCUUGCUUAGUUGCUUGGCCCUUGGCGGUCAUUAGAAGUUGCUUGGCCCCCUUCCAGCUUCAAAGCCUUCUACUCAUACUAGAUGCUUGGCCUCCGAUGUCACUAUGCAGUCGAAUUCUUCUAGUUACUAGUUUGAUUCCUAGAUUGAUUCCCAACUGACAACCCUCGCAUUAGGAGUAGGAGCUCCCACUGCUUAUUCAGAUUCUCGAGUCGCAAAGACAGAUACAGAUCAAUAAUAAGUUGGCAAAGGGGGUAACUCCAUUCUUAGUGUUUCAAUAGACAAGUAAGCACCGGUCCCUUAUGAUUAUUAGUAGCGGUCUUCCACCCUAAGUUCUAGUGUUGGCGACGAAGCUGGAAGUUACCUUCCUUAUAGUACUGAAGUUUCGAAUUUCAUUAGUUUACAGAGGUGGAUGAGAUUCAAUAGUAUCUAUAGAUUCAAUCGUGUAUGCUCGCAACUACUAGCCAAAGCUUGAAAGGGACAAUUUAGUAAGCAGCAAGGAGAGUUGAGUCUCGCAUAACUUAUUCUGAUUGAAACAAUCAAUUGACUAGCGGCCCCUAAGAGAUUCCCGCGACUCGGUAAAGCCUUAUUGUAUCCCGCGCGCAACUCGAAAUCUGGUCUUAAAGCCAACUACUCUCCCUGGCGCCACUGCUGUUAAUAAGUAACUAACCACUGCAGCUCUUUUGUUUGAUACCCUCCGGUUUCUCUUUUGACUUAAGUAAGCUGUUUUGAAAGCUGGACUCUCAUCUACUUCUCCUAUUGCUACAAAGACAGAUGCUACUGCCCCUAAUACUGAUUCCGCUGUACCACGACCACUAGACUACCGGUACCUACCAUAUCUUAUAUUAUGAAUUCCUAUUGAACAGGACUACUUGAAUGAAACAGGACUACUAUACUACACCUCUGGCUUAUCUAACUCUUGCAACUAAUACUUCUUGAAACACUGGUUUCUUCAUUCUUUCACUACUUAUAGCUUCCUCGCCUCCUGCUUGCUCUACUGAUCUAACUGUUAAAGAAAAGGUAGAAUACCACUCCACUACACCUCUGAUUCAAGUGACCAAUUCCAAUGUUACUCACAGCUAAAUCUCAAUUGGGUGCUUAAGGCUUGAAAGUUUCAGUCAGUAGUGACAAGAACACCAACACAGGUGCAUUAAAGAACACCAACACAGGUGCAUUAAUUAUAAGGGCAUUGGUUGGCUUUCCCCUACAUGCUUAGUGAUUGGCUUAGAGGUUGUUUUUGUGUUAGAGUCAACUUCAGAAUCUGGCCGUGAAAAGGUCAGGGUCAAUUCCUUGCUCCCUUCUUUCUUACCAUAGCUCCCUUCCUUCAACAGCUUUUUCUUAGAUUCUGAUCCAGAGUUAACCUGUGCUCGGUUACGCGGAGGAGUUUGUUCCCUGAGUUACCUAUGGAUAUCAUGCCUAGGGUUGGUUAGCUAGCCUCACUUCAAGUUGAGGCCCUUAUAGUCGGAGACUUGCCCUUAUACAUACAGGCGCUACACGGGUAACUCGCUUAUAGAUAAAGUUCUAAUUGAAUCAGCUUACGGAGUUCUCUGUCUUAUUUGGAAUCUCAUGCACAUCUAUAUGGGUAAUCUCAUGCAUAUCUAUAAUGGUUAAUCUCAUGCAUAUCUAUAAUGGUUAAUCUCGUGCGCAUCUCUAAUAUAAUUGGAUAACAUUACUUCUUUCUUAUAUACUCUACUAUUUAUUUAUUAAACCUAACAGGCUUUCAGCUCCUUUCUUUUGCUUAAAAUAAAACUGCCUGUUCACUUAGCAACUACAAUUCAUUCAAGUUUUCUAUAGCACCCCGGAAAGCUCACGUUAUCCCUUGCUUGCUGAUUGUGAUCUACCAGUUGCUUCCGCUUCACCCGAAACAAUACUUUUCAUUGUGGAUUCUGUUGGUUAUGAUUCUUCUUCUUCUAGAACCGGAAUUGGCUGGCGGUUCACAAACAGAGCCUCCGGGUGGCGAAGGAACAAGUGACCAGUUACGCGUUAGUGAGUUAACCCUUCUCCUCUUACAAGGUGUUAUACUCAAUACUAAAUACACUCAAUAAACCCAUCUAUCCCCUUUGCCUCAAACUGUUGACUCUUACGUUAGCACUGAGUCCAGCUUAGAGUAAAGGAAAACAUUCCAAUCUGCCGUUGUUUAACCCGCUAACGCACCCGCUAAAGAAUGAAAGGAAGUAGUAGGAAGUAGUUUAAGCUUAAAGCAUAUAGUAUGAUUGACUCAGGACUGGAACUCUCAAUUAAUAACCUAGGGCUGCUUACUUACUUAAGACUUAUGCAUUCGAAAAGAGCUUCUUGAACCGACAACCCAGACUUGCUUCUCAAGCUACCCCCAGCCCAAGAGCUUCUAUAGUAGGGAAAACACCUUUGCGUCUACCAGCUCCUGCCGCUAGUGUUCGCUAAGUUAACUAAUACAGUUAUUGCUCUAGACGACUCUGGACUACUCGUAUACAAGUUUGGGAUUCCACUAGAACAAGAACAUAGGUAAACUUACAAUAAGGGCUUCUAAUAAGCACCCGACCCGACCUCUAUUUAUGACACUUGCCUCUCCUCUGGCAACUGUUGCUUGGUUGCUCGCUCCUCUAUGAAUUGAGUUUACUUACCUAUCCCUCUUCCCUGGCUCCGGCUACUAAUCUAACUAUCCUCUUGACACUAGCUGCCCUCCCGAACCGACCUCUGCUCCUAUAACUGAAUGAGGAUUGGCUGUGGAAUCCUAUUUCCUAUAUGAAGAUAGAUCAAAUGAACCUAUAUGUUUCUCUUCUAAACAAGUACUGUGGUUAGUAUAUGAUAAAGAUCUCGAGUUUUCUGGUUGAUUUAGCUAAUCUGAAGGUGUUAAGUCUACUCUCUUCUUUAUAAAGAAACUACUCGCUUCACCACCCUAUGCCUCUGCCCAAGAAGGCAGGUUAGCUAGUCAAUUUCAGGAAGUCAACCAGCUUGCCCUCGUAUUGGACACUAGAGGCUCCAUUAGUUUUAUAGGCAAUAGGCACCCCGCAUCUAUUCUACUAUUCACCCAUAAUGGGCACCCACAAUCAGUAUUGCCAGGCCCGGACUCAGUUGGUUGAAAGAUCAUAAUUUUGGUUGAAAGAUCUGAAAUAAAGAAAUAAGGCUUGUAAGUAAGGGUGCCUAGCCUGUCGGAGCUCCUGCCGCUAGUCAAUUUCGGGAAUGAAACAACUACCCUCGUCUCAAAGCCAGUACAAGUCCUUUCUUCGACCCCUAAGAUGUUAGGCAGAAAUGCAUUUAUAGGUUCCGGCGGGGGUACUCGAUGUCCUAUUUGCUAUCAAACUCAAUAAGAUGCGAAAGAAUGGCCUUUUCGCCCGACAAGUCACUACUACAAAACCAUAGAAAGGACAGAGCGCAUAUAAUAUGGUUUAUAUAAAUUAUUGCCAAGUCCUAAUUAAUAGCUUAAGGCGCGGGGGUUGCCUGUCCUCAUUUUCCAUCUGACUUGACUCUAUCUCAUUCCCCAGCUACAUGACUUGACUCUAUCUCAUUCCCCAGCUACAACUUCUAGGGCAAAAACCAACUUGUUUACUUUAUCCGUGCUUUCCCGGUCGCUGUAACAGCUACUCGCCAGAACACCUAUGAAGGUUGUAAGGCCCCGGCAACAACAAGAAGCAUUAGCGCAACGCAACAAUAAGUAUGUUACCACACACGGCAAGGAAGGAGAAGGGGGCUUCCAAGAAUGAAGCUAUCCACCUACAAGCAAGAAUGAAGUGUUUCAACAAUCUAAUUGAGUAAACGACUUCCUGACUAACUACUGGAAUCACAAAUAGGCCCCUAGAACUCAUGUUAGCGCAACAGCGAAAGAAAAGAAUGUUGCUAUCCAUACAAAGAAUGUUGCUAUCCAUACAUAUAGAAAUGAUGAACAACACUGUUUUGCUUCCCUUAAGUUGGACUGGGCGCACCCCAGAAAGUCAGCUAAUUAGAGGCACGCACCCCAGAGAGUCAGCUAAUUAGAGACACCCCAGAAAGUAAGCUAAUUAGAGGCAUCCCAGAAAGUAAGCUAAUGCACCACCUUAGGCUUGCGCAACGGUUAACUCACUACAGACUUUGAGAACUACCGUUAGCACUUUGUCUAUUUACCCUUCCUUCUUUGUUCUCUUACUUGUUUAUUGGUUUUCCUUACUGGAAGGAUAUUUCUCUAAGCAGCCUUACCCUAUGCUUUGUAUAUAAAAUGAGAUGAGUAUUUGACCUCAUGUCCUUGUCUUCUGGUUUGAGUAUACUAGUUUGUUCCGUUGCUAGUUCGCAUAUGAUAGCAUAUGGGCUUUGCUUCUGCACCUCUACUACAAAAGAGCCAGAGUCGAGGCCUUUAUAGUAAGUUGACAAUAAGAAUGGAAGGAGAGUUCAAAUUCUCCUAUGUUUUUUACUACUUAACUAGUACAGUGUCAGUAGACGGGGCCAAGCUACAGUGCGUACUAGAGCAAGAAACCCUGCUGAAUCUUCAUUUACUCAUUAAAGUAGGGGCCAAGUGCUGUAUUCGUCUUCGGCUUAACUAUUGACUCUCGGGUGAACAGCGUUGACAGAGCCCUCCCUCUCACCAACUACAGGCUCGGUUGAUGCAAUCGGUAACUAUGUAAGAUAGAAUCCCGUCCGAUAACACUUCGUACUGCACUGGGUUAGCAAGAAAGAAGUCAACUAGGUAAAGAAGUAAACCAGCCUGCCCUCGUAUUGAAGUACCCUGCCCCUAUGGAAUAAAACAAGUAAUGCNNNNNNNNNNNNNNNNNNNNNNNNNNNNNNNNNNNNNNNNNNNNNNNNNNNNNNNNNNNNNNNNNNNNNCAUUAUAACAUAGUAUUUGCCAAAACAGCUGCCGCGCAACACAAACAAAGGAAUAGUUAUAACUAAGUUAUAACUACUUAUUGCUGCUGACGCUCUUUUAGCUCGCUACCGCGCCUAGAUCGGCUUGGCGAACACAGGACUUGUUUAUAACUUGUUUAUAACUUCCUAUUGUUGUUACUGCCGCCGAAAACAUCUACUGUAAUAACUUCGUUAUGACUAUUACUUGCUGCCGCGUAACGUUAGUAGUUACUUGGCCGCCGUUGCUUGUCUAUCCGUUACUUGUCUAGUUGCUUGGCCGUUUGUAGGAGUUGCUUGGCCCCGCUUCAGUUCAGAGUUGAGUGUAGUUCUCAUAUGACCAAUUCCCCAAGUAAGCUGUAUACUUGCUAUGUGCUCGAGAGAUUGGUAACCAACCUGGCUAAUUCUUCUGUCCAUCCUUUUGUAGGGGCAAAGACUCUGUCCUUUGUUCACCAGUCUUCAUGGCUAAAGGAGAGCUCAAUCCUACUUAAUUAUAUCUUAUAAUAUAAUAGAACUGACAAAACUCUGGAUUCGAAUUAGAUGCAAGGGAGCGGUGCUCUGGAUCCCUUAUGAUUAUUAGUUUCAGACCGCUUCUAAGUCACUCACUACUACCAGUGAGUAAGUUGUUCUGCCCUGUUAGCCUAACAUCUUGAUGGCAAAUGCCCUAUGUUGCCUCAGGAAAUGACCCUAUAGUGCUUUUUAGUGGAAAUUCCCCUUAAAGUAGUUCAGAAUGAAAGCUCUCAGAGGAGAAGAGCAGCCCCUGUUCACGGAUACCUAAAAACAUAAAGCCCAGUUAGGAAGUAGGGUUAAGGGGAAGACACGGAAUCCUUAGCCGGGUAUUGAGAUAGAAGCCUAGAGUUCAGUUGUUGGUGACGAAGCGGGAAGUUCAGAGUUUCGUUCAGAUAGCCCGGGAAGUUCAUCAGUAUUUGUUUGAUAGGCGAUAGGCUACGGGUGUGACUCAAAUCUACUAAUCCAACGGGUGUGACUCAAAUGCUAAUUUGACUAAUUUCACUUUGACUAAUUUCUUUACUAUAGUAGUAGGCAAGGAAUAAGGCUAAACCGAGUAUCAUCUGUUUAAUACCGGGUGUCAGUUGCAAGAGGAGAGGGAGAGUUUCAGACUGGUAGUAGUAGCCCUGGGAGAGUCCAGUCCGUCCGCCUCCAAGUCAACGAGAUCAUAAGCCGCCUUAUCUGUAUCCGUAUCAGGAUCAGGAACAGCUCUUUACUCGCACCCACACUACACUUGCAGAACCGUUUGAUGCUUAUUUUCUUUCUUCACCGAAAUAGUUAGUAUCACCUGAACCCUUGAUUCGAGGACACACAGUCAGUAACUGGACACUCCUUUUAGCCUAGCCCGUAAAGGAAACAACGUUGCUUGCUCGCUCUUUCUUCCUCACCUGUAGACUCAACACCUGUAUAAUAAACUCUCACUGCUGUUUCCUCUCUACUUGAAUCAGAGCUUAUUUUCUUUCUUUAUAAUAAGAUUAACCAAGGGGUAAAACUCUAGUUGUACUGCUCCUGAUGGUACUGCUCCCGUCCUCGGUAUUCCACUUUAAUAACUUCUGAUUUUGGGCUUCUUCUGUUGGGCCUGUACUUAACUCUGCCCCGCCCUCUUUACUAUCGGAUUGCCCCAACUCUCUUACGAGCAAGUCAACCAGUCAAUGAUUUUCAUUGAGUUUAUCGAGCAUGUAAUAUAUCUUAUAAGUAAAUACACAUAUAAGUAAAUACACAGCAUAUAUUUUGCCGACCACAACUCAUAUUGUUUAGCCAAUCACUUCUCUCUAUUCUCUAUGACUUAGAAACACGAACUUAACUCUCAGACCCAAACUUACUUAACAGGAGGGUAACUCUAAGAAUCGACAACACAAACUACAUUGCCAACACAACACCGAUUUGCUUCCCGUAUCAAGCAUCUGAUAUUCGAAUUUCGGAAUGGAAUGAAAGAGCUACCAAGCUAACCUUAGCAACUACUGCGUAAGAGACUCGGCGCUCAACUAAGUGCGUCAGGGAGAAUUGUGGAAUUAUUGCUAAGGGUCUGUAAGGCGCUCAGGGAAGGGAAGGCAAUAGAGCUGAAUAUCAAAUAGAAGCGUUAGAUAUGGAUUCUAUAAUGAUUUGUUUUAACUGGCACUAAAACCUGUGUUUUCACCCCGCUUUUGAGUCCUGAGUGAACCUGUGCCCUUAUGUAAUUGGCGUCAGUCUUAUCCCUCUUACCACCCAACACCAGACUUGAUAUCUUUUGGUUUCUACCUUCCCUUCCGCUUAGAGUAAACAAAGAGCCAAGACACUCAAAGACAACUACUGUUCUCGUUCAGGGAGUUUCUUUCCUCUCCUAUGCCUUCGCCUAGCCUAGCCUGAUGUCGGUGCCUAGAAGCUACUUCUGCAGUUACGUAUAGCCUUAUUUUCACUGUGAAGACAGUUAAGACAAUCAGUAGUCAACAAAUUCUUCUUUCUUAACCGAGACUAACCUAAUUGCCUGCUUCCAUAUGAACACUUCGCACCAACCUCUGCUCUGCGCACCAACCUCUUCUCGACGCGCCUAAGCUUGGUCAUUAUAAGUGACUUGGUGGAUCCGACUCGGUAGUUAAAGAGUGAAAGAGGUGAGCUACAUAUUGAAAGUAUUGAUUGGAAGAAUAAGAGACAGAUAGUACAGGUUCGAGUAAGAUAUGAACUACAGUUGCCAUAGUAGAGGUCUGGGAAGCAAGAGAAGCGGAGUGGUUAGUUUACAGAGGAGAGGAAGUAUUAGUAGUUAUCGGAGAAGAAAUACCCUUUUGCUCUAGUACUGUUUCUUGGCCGGGAUUAAACAAGUAGUAGCUUGGCGGAGUGCUUUCUUUGUCGGGAGCUCACACUUCUACUUAUCCCGCUAAUGAUCUAGCGUAUAUUUAGAUAGAAUUGAGGUAACGAACCUACCUAACGGAGUGAAAGGGUAAGAAUGACAGAAUGGAAUUUAUAACUAAGAUAGAAGGGAGUGGAGCAACAGUAAUACAUCCUCUGUCCUAGAUAGGGUAGGAAAUAGCCUACGCUUUCAACUUCACCUUGUUUAUACCUACGCUUUCAACUGCACCUUGUAGUGGCGCACCGAACCUCGCUCCACGAUACCUUGCUUCAGCGGAUUAACAUUGGGCUUCUUCCUCUAUAUAUGAUUAUCUUGGCAAAGCUACCGCGACAGAACUCGUAGACUCAAACAGAACUAGAACUGGCACCAUUCACUUUAGAGCUGGAAAUCAAUCUACAUCAUCAAAGUCAAGAGAUGGAUGAAAUAACUGUUUGGCAAGGCGUCAGGGAAGGGAUUGUUGAAAUUCCGUAUUGACUGACUUGGCUUGGUCGGUAUAAAGCACUGGAAAUCCUACUAAACUGACUUCUUAUACAUCUUAUGCCGAUGAGUUGAGUAAGGGUCACUAACUAGAAUAAGGUCACUAACCAGAAUCCGGUAACUAAACAACUAGUAAGAAACAAUCCUUCUAUUUGAGAGUAAUGACCAGACAAGCAACUAAAGACUAGUAUAGUAUAAGGGACGGGUACUCAAAAUAAUUCAUAGGACAAGUAAGUAUAAGAAUUGGGUAAGUAUAAGUUUCAUCUGUUGCCAGAGGUAUAGUUGCCGGAGGUGUAGUAGAGUAACUUGGUGCCUACUUGUCUAGUAGUUCCUUGGCAGAGCAAGAGGAGAGGCUAAGUACUGAAGUAAAGCUCUUAAAUAACACAUUAGAAUUGAUUUAUUACUUGCUAUGUGCUCGGGAGCCGAGCCAGGAGUGCUUGUUGAAAGAAGUCUAGUACUUGGUUAGAAAGAAAGAAAUAAGGAUUGGUUUGCAAGAGGAAAGGGAUGCAGUUAAGUCAGAAGGAAGCUAAGCUAUAAGUAAAGAAAGUCUAUAUUGGCUAUCCAAAAUCCCAGGGCUGCUAGGUCCAAUCAGCUACUUCCGAAUUGUAACGCGAGUCGAGGUAUAGAAGAGUGCUUAUGGUUCUCCGGCUUCUUUUGAACUCAUAUUCUAUAAGAAAGAAGGAAAUCCAGGACAUCUACUAGUUGAACUCAUAUCUCCCAUCGUAGUUGUUGGCUUUCACACCGGAUUGAACAGGAGGAGUGAGUGAAAAAGUGAACUAUACUCGUCUAGGAAAGUAGUACUUAGAAGCAGUUCUCAAGCCAAGUUAAGUGAAUAGUUCCCAGUUGCCAGAGGUAUGGUUAUCGGAGUGAGUUUGUUAGUCUUAGUACCAAUAUUGGGUUUCUUUCUGGUCAUACUAUGAGAUUCUUAGUCGUACUUACUGGUUGCAUUCUGAUAAUUGAGCACCCGGCUUCCUCACCGGAUCUUGCUUAUUCUUCUGAUUCUAAUGCUUAUUCUUCUGAUAUCUACCCUUUAUUCAUUGAAUAUCUCUCUUACCGCUCUAUAUGGGGAUAGGCGCAAAACAAGGAAAUCCGCCUUUACUACUAACCUUGGGUCUUGCUUCACCGCCUUAGAUUCUCACUGUCCUGCUUGCUUCUCUUUCUGUGUCUCCUAGCCUCCCAUGUACACAAUCCGUCUUGCUUUCCAGCACCUAGGUCUUACUACCCUUACUUUCAGGCUGUGAUGCAUUAGUUUCGGUCUUUCACUUAGUAGCUCCACUCUUUCUAUUACAAUAUAUGUCUUCGAGGUCUUAAACCGGUGCUUCUCAGGCUUCAACUCGAUCCAAUCAGACUGAUACACUGCGCUACUAUGCUAGGUAUUUGUACUACUGGUAUUGGUAUUGGGAGCUAAGGUAUCUAGCCACUGCUAGCAAGACUUAUGGUAGGUAGCGAGUUAGGUACUCCUUAGUCGAUUAGUCGAUUCCAAGUUGAGAGUUCUCAUAGAUAGUAGAAGCCCUGAUUUGAGCCCUGCUUUUUGAAUAGUCAUUCUUUAUUAUAAGAUAAGUAUUGAAGUAAGUAGUGAAAGGGUGACAGCGAGGAAAGGGCUGCUUUAAACUCAAGAUGGGCUCGUACCGUUAAGGGCGAGGAGAGGUCGACAAAAGGUAUGAUGCUAAGUAUAAGUCGGAUUUCAAAGAAUAGGUAAGUGGUGAAUUUACAAGGAUCCAUAGUAUACCACGUGCUCGAUACGAAAGAUUCCAUAAAUGAUUCGUUUUCCUCGGUCCUUGGCGCAAUAGAGAGAAAAUCCAAUAAGUUUGUCAAUCGACAAUGAAUGUUUUACUUGCCGCAAGCAGGUUUGAUUCUUGUGUCGGUACUGCUUGUGUCUAAGGUUGUACCACAUGUCAUACGCCUACUCGAACUUAUAAUGAAUUUGAUGCCCAUAAAGCGGGAGUGUUACUAAGGAAGUAGUGCCCGUCUAUGGUUAGUGGUUGUAUUCUCGCGAGUAGUGGUUGUUGCCUUAGAAGAGCUGGAGAGCAAGCCUGUUUGCCACUAGCUAAAGUCUUAAAAGCUAUAGGCUUUCAGCACCUUGUUUUGAAUAGCAGGAGUAGGCUUCGGGGCUAAUCCUAAGAGUCGUUGGGGUUUAGGGUCUGUGAUUAGUUGUAGUGGAAUGCCUAGUGAGUGGCCCUUAUAGUCAGUUGAAGUAUAGAAGAGUUGCCAGCUUUCUCAGCAAACUGCAUUCUUAUCCUGAGUUUUAUACCUUCAUAGCCGUAGUCCACUAAUGAAAUAGGGAGGUUAGAGUGCUUGUUUGAAGCAAUGAGUCAAUUAAGCAGGGAAUCCUUCUUUCUUUAUAGUGAGGUGCACCAAGUAGAGAAUAGAGUUAUAGAGUUCAGUUACUGAGUCCUGUAUUCAUGGCUAAAGGGCCGCUAGUCAAUACCCUACUUGACCUCCGCAGAAGAGAUUAGCAUUCCAACAUUCUUGAUAUGAUUACUUUUGCACUGAACCUUAUACUCUUCCUUUCAACAACACCGAUGCAUGCAGUAGAAAUGAGCAUUCGACCUUCUUAUCCAGCUUCCGAACCUCGAACUGAAAGGAAAGAAAGAUAGAAUCAGGACAUUAUGAUGCCGACCUCCGCCUUGUGCCUUAAGUAUUACCUUUUCUGGUAUCCUUUCAAAGCACCUUACCGAGUAGAGUAUAGUUUACAACUUAGCACCCCGCACCCCAACUCUCCUUAUGAAUAUCCUUCUCAGGUCUGUGCAACUCUCACUCUCACUGGAAUACGGGUUGGUUUAAAGGAACAGUGGGCUUAGUCUCUCUCUCACCCAUACGAGGCACCUACAUCUAGCAGUAUUGAAUAGAGGCACCCGCGGAUCGGACUAACGCCAUGAACAGCAGAUGGAUAUAGAAGUCGUUUUCCACUUUAACAAAGAAAGUCAGAUAGUAUACAACUUACUAUAAGGGCCCCUAAUAGAUUGAUUCGCUGGAUUUCUUUCUUUAUAAAUAAUCAGAAUUAAGAUAAGCUACUACAAGCGGGUAUCUCGGGCUUAAGUCUGCUACCAGUGUGCUACUACUAGGAAAACAUGGAAUUCAUUGCAAUGGAAGUAGACCUCGCACCAAAGCCUUUACUUUAUUCAUUUCCAAUCGAAACUCCCUAUGGGUCGGGCCUCUAUAAUAAGUCUCGCAAGGUCUCAUCUUUAACCAAGGAAAAGAGGUGGGCAAGGACACGGGAUACAGGCAAACACCGAGCCAAUACCAAUAAGGAAUUCCAUAAUGAAACUAUCUGAGUUGGGGGUAAUGAAACUAUCUGAGUUGGGGGGAGCUACUGGCUUUUAGGCAAAGAUAGGAGACAAGUCCAGGUUUCAAGGGGUUUCUUCAUAAAAUCAUAGAAAGGCGUAGUGACUUUUGGGUUGCUAUCCGCCAAGUCCUUUGCCCUUACGUAAUUGGUGUAGCGGCAGUCGAGUAAUGAACAGUAGUGAGUUAUGAGGAAACACGGUAAAACGGAAAGAUCAGAUUUCUAUUAGUAGUUGCUUGGCCCUUCCCUUUAGCCUAGGAAACAAAUACUUCUUGAAAGAGCUAUACCUCUGGCUAUCAUAUCAUCUCGCUGGCAACUAAUCCUCUCCUCUGGUUCAUCCACCUCUGUAAACUACUACUGUUAUUGCUCCCCCAUCUUCUACUUCUACUCUUUCUAUUCAUUCUUAGUGUUCUACUAGAGUCAACUCUCUUAUCUUUUUCUUUUGCAUGACUUUACCCAUGAACUUGCAUCUUCCUGACUUGAUCAAGCAUCUUAUACUGAACAAGGUAUUCCACUCACACCGCAUAGUCCAAGUGCUUUCUUCGACCAUAAAUCUUAUAAGAAUCAAUUCAUUUCUUGAACGGGGAAGCAAAGAUGAUAGGGAAACGGAUAAAAGGUAUACCGAAUGAAGUGAAAAGUAGCAAGAGUUCAAAGAGAUGGAAUGGCAGCCUGUUUCUGUUCUCAAGUAAGCUGCAGUUCUAGUUUCAUCCUUUAUUGUCUAGCGUUCGGAUGCCUCUAUCAAUCUGCUUUUCCUUUUCUUAAUGCAAGGGCGCCCGAGGUAGUUAUUGGUUAUACUUGAUUCUAUACUUAGUGAUAAAUGGAUAAAUCAAUAUUGUUUGAUCAAUAGGAAGAAGCGAGAUAUCUUCUUUGUUCACUAUGCUCGAUAGAUUCCAUAAGUUCGGUUCAAGUGGUUGUUUACUUUUUCAUCUAGAUAUAGUGGAUAGCGAAAAAUCCAUUCCAUAUUUCAAGUAAGUAGUAAGCAAUGACAAGCAAGUCAAUAAGUGCAAGUGUGCGAUAACCAGAAGAGAAACCCUUUUUUCGAGUUGAGUUCACCCAACAAGCAAGAACAACAGGCGGAUCCCUAUCACCAACAGUAACAGCAGGGGGGCAAUCAGCUUGUAUAUAAAGGAAAGUAGACAAGGAAACUAUACCUAUGGCUACUAUUAACAGAAUGAGGUAUACCUCCAUCCAUACCUAAGAAUAAGGGAGCUACUAACUGGUCUGAAACUCCUGAGUUCUUAUUUCAUUAUGUAACUACUGAGUGACAUUCUUGACUUGAACUACUUGAUAGAAUUGGCUCGUUAUAACUAAGUCCUGUGCACUUAAUAAAUGCGACCUCUCUGGCUCUGUCAACUAAUUAAGUUAUGGCUCUGCACUCUGGACUACUCUCCUCUGAUCUUGUCUUGCUCCAGUAUACGCUUGGCCUCACUCCUACAAUUGCUCACCUAGUAACUGACUUCCUAGUAACUUCCUUCAGGCUUACUCCUUAUUUCGGGCUGACUCCUUACUCCUUACUUCUGGUACUCCCCAGGCAGGGAAUCAGUAGCACUUGUUGAAGUCUGUGACUCCCUAGUUUGAGUCUGAUCAGUGUUAGUUUCAGGCUGUCACUCCCGAGUUUGAGUCUAUCCCUCCGUAGCUGCAGCCUUGGAAGCACUAGUUUGAAUCUGUAACACCCAAGCAUCCGGCUGAGUGGCCCCAGUAUUAGUCUCGGUGGUAUCAGUAUCAGCCUUGGAGUUACUGCUUUCAGGCUUACACCUACUAGCUGCAGCCCUUAUAGUAAGUUGGGGCACUGCUUCCAUUGUUUGACGAGUGGGGUCAAUUCUUACUCUCACGAAUGACAAUAAGGGGUUGCCCUCUCCCUCUUGCUACUGAGUUUGAUUCUGUAACUCCUACUUAUUGGGGUGUCUCUGAGUCUUAUACUAUAGAUGCUUACUACUAGCAGCGGAGGCCAAGCAAUAGUCUAGACGCCAUCCCUUGUGUCAUCGCCGAGUUUUCUGCUUUAUUUCAUAUUUCUCAUUGAUUGGGGACUCCUGCCGCUACACAUUAACAGUGUCUUGGUGGUUGGUUAAAUCAUUUCUCAAAUAUUCAAAUUAUUGAUAAAAAAGUGACAUAAAAAGGAAAUCGAUCCUGUACACACUCAGUACUGAAAUAGUAGCUUUAAACAUAGACGAAGAAAAAGGAUUCUCUCUCUUACCUAGCGCCCGACCUCUCUUUCAAAGGUAUUUAUUCUCUGAUAACUCCUAUUACUUCUUCUCCUCUGAACGACUACUGAUUGAGCUGAGCCGACUUAAUAUAAGGGCUCUUAUCCGAUACCGACUUAAUUAAGGGCAACUGCCAAGCUAGUGACCGAUUCCAAUCUCAAUCUCCAAUAAUGGAACUAGUAAUCUCAAUCUCCAAUAAUGGAACUAGUAAGUAACAGAGACAAACACUAAUGACCAAGCAACGAGCCAAGUCACUUACUUUCAUUCUCACUUUCCUACUUGUUCAUUGAAUUCUUCAAUUCUGUAUUCCUAGUUGUGAGUGUCAAUUCUGAAUAUUCUACUAACCGGUCUGCAACUCUCACUCUAACAGGUAAUUCAUAAACUUACUUGAGAACAGGAACCAGAUACUUGACUUCCUCUGCUGAAGAUCUUUCAACUGAGAAACUGCUGGUUCUUGAUAUAAUAGCUUUCGAACUACCGAUUACGCUUAGGCGGCUUCUUCUCUGACUGAAGAUUCUAUCGUUGCCUUUACUCGUACAGAAAGAUAUUCAAGUACAUAAGUUGAUGGUUCCCCUGCUGGUUGAAUUGAAUCACCUUUACCCUGAUUACCCAGAUAUAUCUCAUACUAUAGGAGAACUCCGUAAGCUGAAGAAGGAAUUGAGGUUUUUUUCUUUUGCUUAUAGAAUGUCGGUAAUUUCCCUUGCUUGCUCUGUUGGCUCAUAGCUCUUCCUUUAAGUACUAGCUGCCUUGCUUGUUCUGUGACUCAUAGCUUCUUUUAAGUAUACUAGUAGCCUAGUUUGAUUUAAGAACUCAGAUAGGAACAGUUGGACCAGUAUCAAGUUAGAAAGAAAAGAGUAUGCACCUAAUAAAAUAGAUGAAAGUAACAACACCUCACUCCACUCUGAAACUAAGGCACAAGCACGAACUGGAAAGAAAGAAUAGAAUAUGGACUUAACUCAAACUCACGUAAGCUAAAGUAAGCACUUGCUCUUAACAACAUGCUAACGCGCAAAGAUGUUUUGCUUGUCCCGUUGCGCCUUUAUUAUUAGUUGUUUCUUUCUACCCUAAAUCACAUUAUUUGUAGUUUCCCUCUUUCUACCCUUAAUCACAGGCUACUCCACUAUAUACUGUUAUUGCAUUCCUUACAGUAAAGGCUACUCAACGAGAUACUUCACUUUAGACUUAACUAGAGUUUCUACCCGUUGCGCCUUUAUUGUUCCGUUGCUUCUUGUUCUUUCGCCGAUGCACUUAGUUAGCUUAUGGCUGGUGUUCGUUGGGGCGAGGAACAAGCUUAGCCGUUGUACGUUAGCUGACUUUAGAGCUUAUUUCAAAUAAAACCAUCUUAUUGCAUUUAUCUCACUCUUUACUUAUCUUAUUACUUACUUAUUUAUAGCAUCUCUCUCUUACUCUUUACUCCUUACUAAAAACACUUAUUGAACGACUUGUGGAAGAGCUUGCUCAUUCGCCCUUGCUUGUAACUCUCAACUAACUGUUUACUGCUGGCGCACAACUCAUAACUGAACUCUGCCUCUGUCCUUUAUUAUUGUAUUGCACCGGAGUAAAGAAUGAUUUUAGUGAAGAGGUUCUACUACAACUGCUACUACAGCUGGGGGUGUCACUGUUCCUAGGCAAUAGAAUUCUAUAGUUUCCUUUCGAACAGCAUAUUCUAACGCUUUUGAUCCAGCAAACAGUAAUUGAUUCUGACCUUUCUAAGCCAGUAGCUUCUCCCGCUAUACAAGUCAUAUUCUUUCUGUGGUAGAACACUUUGCUUACAGAGGAUCCUUCGGAGCUCGAUAGAGGUUUAUUCAGCAAUAGAAUACCGUAAUAGAUAUAGAAUCCGGAAGCCCAAGCUACUACUACAAACGCUCUGAUGCCACACCUUAUUCUUAAGGCACUAUACCCCCGAACAAGAAAAGUCUAUUACGUCAACUGCUCCUGCUCUCGGUCCGAAGACAAAGUGGCUUUAUUGGCAAGGCUUUCCGGAUUUGCUUACAUAACAAACAAACCUUUCUCUGAGCAAACAACCCUACCCUAUGUAUCUCCCUACCAGGUAACGAAGACAAAGUGGUCAUCUCUGGCAACAAUGAACUUCAUUCUUAUCCUCCGAACAAGUCCUUAUUUUGGUGCCUGUGACUUAUAUAUCUGCCGGUAGUGCGUUGCAUAUUCAUUCCUUAAUGAGGUAAGGUAAGUAAUAAGUUACUGGUCUACGGAAGCUCCACUCCAUAAGAAGAAAGUACGAGCGGAAGCUAGAGUAUGAUUCUUAUCUCGAUUAUAUAAGGUCAACUCGACUUGUUUCAUUUGAAUUGGAAUCUUUGUAGCUUAGAUAGAGUAAAGAGUCAACGUAGAGUCAAGAGUCAACAACCAGAGAAGAGAGGAACGUAAACAAACAGCUUUGCUUCAAGACCCAGACUCAUAUAAGCUUAUUGCUGGCCCUUUCUUUUGCUUCAAAACGGACUCCUUUAACAGACGGAGAUGCUUGGCAAUUACUAUAAGGGCCUAUCCUUGAAGUUCAUCAUGGAAUUGAAUAUCUCUUGCACAUGGUAUAGAAUCAAAUAAAGAUACAGAUCCAUCUUUUGCUUUAGAUCUUGUUGACUAAACUAGAACUGCUUCUUUAUUAGAUGAAACUCGGGAUGAAACAAGUUAACCUAGUCAAGCGAUCCUGCUCCUUUAGCUGACGCUACUUAGAAUAGUAGAAAGGUUCGGUGAAGUUCGAGUGCUGUCUCCUGUUAUUGGUGGCAAUUAUAGUAGGGGAGCUGAGCUGUACGCGUCAACCUAUAGCUUUAGCCCGCCGUAGCAGAAGCACUUGUUAGGAGCUCACGUAUAAGAACCAUGUCAGUGUCAAUUCCAUGAUUUUCUUGUUUUGUUUGUUGAGUCAGCAGUAAUAGGUGAGUCAGCAGGUAUAACAUUAGAGUCAGGAGUCAUCAGUUGGGUUACUUACCUGAUGAAUUUAUAUGUACCUAAGCAGUCAGCAGUAAUAGAUGGGGAAGCGGUCAUGGAUGGUCAGGUUACACACUUAUUAUAACAGGGGCACCCACAUUAACAAGUCUAAGUCAAGUUUUCAGGAGCUACGUCGAUACAGUUGAAAUCCAAUCUUCUUUGAAAGAUGAAACAAUAACUCAACAAACUCAAACUAAUUGAGACUUACGCGCAACCAAUUACUUAAGGGGACUAGUAGCUUGUCUGCAGCUGACACCGCUAAUUCUUGAGUAGACUGAACUAUCAACCUGACUCCAACUCAAACAUCUUACUUGUUCCCUUGCGCAACUAAUCACUAAACUUCCCUUUUGCCGAUGCCGACCUAAACUACACUUGCUGCCGACUUGCGCACUGCUUCUAAUCCAACUAGCAACGUACGUAUAUAGACUUGAUCUUCCCUCUGAACUUAAAGCAUAGGUUCCCCAACUACCGAAACUCAUUGAAACUAAGAAACACUACCGAAACUCAUUGAAACUAAUCAACUUGCCUUAUAAUGCAUUUAUGACUAGAAGAUUUAUGGUCGAAGAAAGGACUUGUACAGGGUUUGAUGCGGGGAAGUGGAGAAUUGCCUGUGACUCGGGUAGGGUUGGUGCUUACGCUCUAGUCAAGUUGCUAGGUUUGGUCAAGUUGCUAGGUUUGGCUUGUUUACUGACUUUGUUUACUUACUUGCCGAGUUUCAUCUGUAAUCUUAUAUAAGAGAGAAUUCUUGUUGGAAUGUUUUCACAGGGUCGGUUGGUUUACUUCCUUAGUUGACUUACUUUGUGGGGUUAAUUCCACUCACAUUCUCACAGGACUACUAACUACCGGGACUACCUGGACUAUCGGGAUCAAACAAAUUAAGGUGCUGAAAGCCACAACGCCAAGCAACGAGACCCCUCUGGUUCACUUUCAGUCUGUAACUCGCUUGUAUCAGGCUUGCACUCCCCGGUUUGGUUCUUUGGCUACCCGGCAUCAGUCCUAGCAGCUGUGGUUGAAGAAUAAGUAGCACCCGUAUCAGGCUUAGUAGACACCGUUCGAUCCUGUAACUCUCUUGGUUGAGUCUUGCUGGCAGUGGUUUAGGUCUGGUUGUCAGUGGUUAUAGUCCGAUUGUGCACCAUAUCGGUCUAGUAGUUAGUGAUUUCAGUCUGAUUGUUAGUAGUUAGAGACCCUAGCUACCCUUACCAAUAGCUUCAGUCGGAGUAGCUACAUACCGAGACCUUAGCUACCAAGCACCAAUCUGCCCAGCGCCCGUUUAAGCCUUUGACUCCAUAGCAGCAGUCCCAUACUUUCCACUAUCCCUCUCUGGCAACUUAAUAGAAGGGCAACUGCCAAGCUAGUACUAGAUGCGGGCCAAGUCCACCAAGCAAAUACUUUUUACCAAAACCCGUGUUUUUGGGCAGCCGAGGGGAGAGCUCCUGCCGCGGAACAUGAGCAGUUCCUUGGCCCCUUCUUAGCUGGGUUCAUGGAAAUGAGAUCUUGGCGUUUUCCCGUGUUUUUUCAUAGCAAACGAUAAGAGCUCCUGCCGCGGAACGUUAGUAGUUCCUUGCCCCUUCCUGAGGCACCUGAUUGAUAUUCUUUUUUUCCGUUUUCCCGGGUUUUUUCGUUGCAAACGAUAAGAGCUCCUGCCGCGGAACGUUAGUAGUUCCUUGCCCCUUCCUGAGUGCCCAGAUUGAAAUGAGCUUUUUGCGUUUUCCCGGGAUUUUGGAUAGCAAAGUGAGUGGUUGUCUACUUGUCAGCUUGCUUGGCUCUUUGAUUCACUGCUUUCAGUCUUACUCCCAUCAGUUCCAUCCUUAGUCUACGGAUUUCCAUUCUUCUUCUGUUACUACCACUACUGAGUUGCAUUCUUAAACUACUUAGGUCAAUUCUAUCCCUUAGCAGCUCCGCUCUUUGGCUACCCGGUCUUAGUCCUGUUGGCAGUAGCACUGGUUUCAGUCUGAUAAUACCCAGCUGAAGUCCGAGGAGCAGCAGCACCAGUCCAAUACUACCUUAGCAUCAGUCCAAUACCUAGCACGAGUACCCACUGCUUCAGUCUUAGUACCAAUAGUAUCAGUCUGCCCGGCACUUGUUUAAGUCUGAGUGUGGUACUUGUUGGAGUCUGGUUAAUAGUAGCUAUAGCCUGUAACUCCCUGGUUGCAUUCUCAGUAGGAGUAGUUUGAGUCUGUCGGGGCAGUGUGUCAGUCUGUUCCUCACUGGGUUCAUUCCGAUAGUUGCUAGGUCAAUUCUCGGUGGUACUGCUUUGAUUCCUGUUGGUGCUGGGGCAAGGUAAGGCUCGCUCGGUACUGCUUUCAGGCUGUCACUCCCUUUGAUGAGUCUUGGAAGCAGUGUUUCAAGCCUGAGUGGUUCUGCUUGAAGUCUUGGACUACUGAGUGGAAUUCUGAUCUGAAGCUGCAGGGAAUCAGUGAGGGAAUCAGUGGGAGUGGUUGAAUUCUGUAAGUAGGAGUAGCGGCAUUGAGAUAAGUAAGUGAAGGCGCUGGUAAGUAAGAGGGUAAGACUGAGUUAAGUAAGAGUGAAGGCUGGUUGUUAGAUGCCUCGGUCUUGGAAGCACUGGUUUCGGUCUGAUCGGAUCUAGGUUCGUUCUGUAACUACCCCGCUUAAGCCUGGUUGGCAGUGAGUUAAGCCUGGUUGGGGCAGUAGUUAAGCCUGGUUGGUAGUGAGUUAAGCCUGUAACUCCCCGGUUGAAGCCUUGGACUACAGGAGCUAAUUCUUAGUAACACCCGUCUAAGCCUGUGAUGCACCGGUUGAAGCCUGCCUAGGAGUAAUUUGAGACCUUAGCUACCCGGGUUCAGUCUUUGCCCUAGUGGGUUGGUUCUGUGAGUUAGUAAUUGAAGUCUUAAGUAGCUAUAUCAGAAGCACUAGGCAUUGUUUAAGUCUGGUUAGCCCUCGAACACAGGACUUCUAUCUUUCGAAACUCAAUCCUUAAUAAUAACAGAUAGAAUUUGAUAGGCGGGCGAGUUAGAUGAGAUGGAGUAUUGAUGGGCCAGAGAAGAGACUGUUCUAGUUUCAAGUCGGAGACAAGCGUAAUAGGAGAUGGGUUCUACUACUGGUUUAGCUUUCCCUUACUUAUAUGAAAGCUGUCUGCUUGGUUGCUCCUUACUUCCUUCCUUUAAGAAUAUAGUUUCCUCGAUGCCAGGUCCAUUCUUUCUUUAUGUUAUGCGCUCUAAACUAUACUGUCUUCCUUCAUGUGCUAGAUCAUACCCUAAGUUUCCAUUCUCCACUUAGUCUUGCCCGUGAAAAAGGUAGCAUCGGAGUUUCCCCUCCUAUCGAACCAAUAAGGCAUGCUCUUUUUUAAGAAACCCGUGUUUUUUGGUAGCGAAGGAGUUUUGCCUCCUAGACCAUAAGAUUUCUCCUCCACUUUUGCGUUUUCCCGGGAUUUUGGAUAGCUUCGUUCUUUUCCCUCCUAGAGCACUUAUUUCAAAUGAGCAUUUUGCGUUUUCCCGUCUUUUUUCAUUGCAAAUGGGGAAUAUCUCCUCUCCUCUUCUCUUGCUCCGAUACCUAUGUCAACUAAUAUUCCACUGGGGAUGCAACAACUAAUGAAGGGGAGUUACUAGCGGCAGGAGCUUAAGAACCAUACCAGAAGCCAGGGCAGCGAGAAUGCAAACACUACCAAUAAGAGAGGUGAGCGAGUAGUUAACUAAGAAUUCCA
Molecule: long non-coding RNA, 38471 nt
Filed under: Musa acuminata (dwarf banana)
Lineage: Eukaryota; Viridiplantae; Streptophyta; Magnoliopsida; Zingiberales; Musaceae
Description: long non-coding RNA (MACU_LNC007977)
Source: RNAcentral